UUAGCUGCUGCGUGCAAUAAGAUACUUGAACUUCAGAAAUGUGUUGCUAAUGACCUUCAGUAUACUCUUUCUAGACUCUGUAGUGAAAUAAACACUUUAUGUGUAGUGGAUCAUAGAUGAUAGGCAUUACUAAAACUGGGCUGAGUGCUGCAGAACUCAUCCGUUCUCUAUAUACAACGUGUUUUUCUGUUCUUGAGAAUGGCGUAUGAUGAAGAGCUGUGAACACAAAACAAUUGAGUUAAAGUGGAGUAUCCUUGGCUCAACAGCUGUACAUUCACACGUUUGAGAGGAACAAAACCUUGCAGUGAGACGUGCCAGGAACUCCAAGACUUGCUGAGAAAGCAUUUGGUGAUGGAAAAGGCAUAAAAUGAACAGAACAAGCAGGCUGCCAUAUCAACACGGAAAGUGCUCAGAAGAACUGUUCAUGUUGUUGGUUGGAAGCAACACUAAUAAUUAUGUUAACAGGAGUGGCACACGGCUGAUCUGCAUAGUAUUUGCAAACAGGCAGGAGCACCCUCUCCCCCAAGCAAAUGAUUUCUCAUUCCUUGGAUGACUCUGUAAAUACACGUGCAGAUUAGCUGGAGCUUCAGAAGUACUUAAACAGGUGAGCGUCUUCCUCCAUCAGAGCGUAAUGAAGCAGAGUUAAC
Molecule: long non-coding RNA, 647 nt
Filed under: Numida meleagris (helmeted guineafowl)
Lineage: Eukaryota; Metazoa; Chordata; Aves; Galliformes; Numididae
Description: lncRNA (ENSNMEG00000018409.1)
Source: RNAcentral